GCUGGGCAUGGUGGCACAUGCCUGUAAUCCCAGCUACUCAGGAGGCUGAGGCAGGAGAAUUGCUUGAACCCAGGAGGCGGAGGUUGCAGUGAGCCAAGAUCAUGCCACUGCACUUCAGCCUGGGCGACAGAGCAAGACUCUGUCUCAA
RNAcentral lists this non-coding RNA (148 nucleotides) under Pan troglodytes (chimpanzee). The record is from Rfam by way of RNAcentral. Lineage: Eukaryota; Metazoa; Chordata; Mammalia; Primates; Hominidae.